GGCAGAGGGAGCCCGGUUCCCGUGCCCCGGCCCGGGCGGAGUGAUCCGGCCGGCAAGGGGCAUGAGGAAAGUCCCCCCACCGUCCGGGCAGGUGACCGGGUGCAAACCCGGAGCGGGAGACCGCUGGCGCUGGAACAGAAACGAGACCCCUCUCCCCGACCGAUGAGGCGCGCGAACUCGACGGGAGAGAACGGAUGGAACGGCGAACCCUCACCGGUGCAAGCCCGCGUGACAGGUAGCCCGGACACGACGCGGGCGCUCAGCCGAAUGCCGGGCCGAACAGAAGGGGGCUUACUCCCCUCAGCC
RNAcentral lists this RNase P RNA (306 nucleotides) under Halobacteriales archaeon QH_10_67_22. RNAcentral describes it as "RNase P RNA component". It matches the Rfam family "Archaeal RNase P". Rfam says of the family: Ribonuclease P (RNase P) is a ubiquitous endoribonuclease, found in archaea, bacteria and eukarya as well as chloroplasts and mitochondria. The record is from RNAcentral. Lineage: Archaea; Methanobacteriati; Methanobacteriota; Halobacteria; Halobacteriales.